GCCAUCAUUCAGUUGGGCACGUCUAAGGGACUGCCGGUGUUAAGCCGGAGGAAGCGGGACGACGUCAAGUCAUCAUGGCCUUUAUAUCCGGGCUACACACGUGCUACAAUGGGCGGUACAAAGGGCUGCCAACCGCAAGGGGAGCUAAUCCCAAAAAGCCGUCCUCAGUUCAGAUUGGAGUCUGCAACUCGACUCCAUGAAGUCGGAAUCGCUAGUAAUCGCGGAUCAGCACGCCGCGGUGAAUACGUUCCCGGGCCUU
RNAcentral lists this ribosomal RNA (259 nucleotides) under uncultured delta proteobacterium. Its description in RNAcentral is "partial 16S ribosomal RNA". It matches the Rfam family "Bacterial small subunit ribosomal RNA", at positions 1117 to 1382 of the family's 1533-position model. Lineage: Bacteria; Deltaproteobacteria. The record is from RNAcentral.